Molecule: long non-coding RNA, 204 nt
Filed under: Mytilus galloprovincialis (Mediterranean mussel)
Lineage: Eukaryota; Metazoa; Mollusca; Bivalvia; Mytilida; Mytilidae
Source: RNAcentral
CGCCCGCACCUAUUUAUUUCAAAACAGAAUUUUUUUAUUUUUUUUAUAUUCCCGCUGCCCGCAUCCGGAAAUGUAAUCAUGUCCAUUUCCCGCACCGUUUUUUUUUUGGUAAAUAUUAUAAAAAGAUAUCAACAUUUGUUUUUAAAAUCACAGUCUAACCUGUAUAUAACGAUUUUAAACAUAAAAGCACCCCACCACACUGUG